RNAcentral lists this long non-coding RNA (1889 nucleotides) under Sus scrofa (pig). Its description in RNAcentral is "lncRNA (ENSSSCG00070026005.1)". Lineage: Eukaryota; Metazoa; Chordata; Mammalia; Artiodactyla; Suidae. The record is from RNAcentral.
GAAGACAGCAUCAGUUUUUCUCAAACAGUUUAAUAGCAAAUAAACAAAGGAAGGUACCACACUUGGCAGAUACAAAAUGACUUUUUGUCCGUGUGUCUGUGCAAUUAAAACAGAUUUAGGUUCCCCAUUGGGACAAAAGGAAAAACACACAAAAAAGGAAGGAGAAUCCUUUUAAACACAUACUCCCUUGCUUCAAACAAUUUUUUUUUUUCUUUUUUAAUCCACUACACAAACUCUGUGAUCAGGUCAGAAAAGCAAUAAGGGCUCUUCUUGCCUUUUUUUUUUUUUUAAACCAUUAAAGUAAAAUCCAUAAUUUUCUACAUAGUACAACACAAUUUCACACAAAAAAGACAUUUUCUUUUGCAAAUCAAAACAGGAAAGAAAGGAAAAGCUCAAACAAGGUAAAGAAAAAGCAUUUCUACGGCUGAAUCACGACUUUGAGUUGAUUGAAUCCCGUUUGUUGCUGCAAGAACAGACUGUGCGUUUGGUCAUAGUGGCAAUUUUUUUUUCUCUUCACAUUGUGAAAUCACUUUACAUUGUUUUCUAGUAGAAAAGGCAAAAAACUGUACAAAACCCCUAGUGUUAAAUACAACGUUUGUACCAAUAAAAAACUCACACAGGUUUGUCUCCAAAAUGUAAAGUUUCUUUUUUUUUUUUUCUUUUUAAAUUAUUCACAAAAAGCAGCUGGAAAUCAGAAAGGCAGCUGCCGCUCCAGGGUCUCAAAUCCAUUAAAACCACCACAGAACAAUUAAAACAAUCAGAGAGAGAAAAGGAAAAGAAACAAUGUCCAACGUUUGGCAUUUGGUUUUAUCCACAGGUUUUCCCAGACUGUGGGGUGCACGGCAGUCUCGCUCAGGCUGGGGUUCCUGGCCUCGUUCCAUCCAAUCACCCCUUCCAAGAAAUUAAGCAGCCUACCAUUCAUGGGGCCAUUUGGCCACCCUCUCCUCCUAGAAAGAGUGGCCCCAAGCAUAGUACUAGGCAACCUGCUGGGUCCCAGAGCAGAAGUUCUGCUGGGAUCCGCUCCUUCAUCAACCCCAGCAUGGAUGAUGCUAACAGUGCUUCUACCUUCCCCACCCCCCACCCCAGACCCUCGGCUAGCCCUCUCCACCCUUCCCUGACAAUCCUACUUCCCAGCUCUCUCACCCACCAGCAGCUCAGGCCUGGGUGGGAUCUAUCCCCAACUCCUCCCUCUGCAACCUCUUACCUCCACAGACCCAUCCUGUGACCUCUCACCUCCUCUGGCCUCUCCCUCUGCCAUUCACAUUCUUACUCAAGUCCCUAAGACCCUGAGGCUGGAUGGUGCCACAAGAGAGGAGGGCAAGUUCCCCUCAGGGAACCAAGGAACUAGCUUGCCUGGCACCCAGGGACAGUAGCUAUUUGGCUCUUCACCUGAUUUAAAAAAAAAAAAAAAAAAAAAUCCCCGCCCUUACCCCCACCCCACUAGCUAAGCAAGAGCAGAGCUGUGGUGAAGAGCCAGUGUGGGGUGGCUGGUGCCCAGGGCUGUAAACAGUGUGAAGACUGUAGUAUUGUGCUUGUCACCUAGGAAAAGCGCUGGCAGGUGUGGGGCCGCUUAGUGCACAGACGGCUUCCUCGAGUGGUUAAGAACACCCUCUUCACUCGGGGCCGAGGGAUGCUCACUACCCCUAACGCGCUAAGCCUUUCAUCCACCCACAGCCACCUUCUGGGUUCUAUCUCUGCUCCUCGGGCCUUUCUGGACCCCCUUCCCUCCCGUCUCUGAGCAGAGCAGCCGGCCUCCUGGAGGCCCCGCCGAGGCCUGGAGGCUGUACGAGGUGACAGUCUAAGUGCACAGGCAGACGCUCUAAGGGCAAUAGAGGAGAAAGUUGCCACUUCAAAAUAAAACAAUACAAUCUCGAAAAAAAAAAAAAUCA